This 497-nucleotide ribosomal RNA is filed under the name uncultured bacterium. RNAcentral's name for it is "partial 16S ribosomal RNA". It matches the Rfam family "Bacterial small subunit ribosomal RNA", at positions 28 to 507 of the family's 1533-position model. The record is from RNAcentral.
GAUGAACGCUGGCGGCGUGCCUAAUGCAUGCAAGUCGAGCGAACGGACGAGAAGCUUGCUUCUCUGAUGUUAGCGGCGGACGGGUGAGUAACACGUGGAUAACCUACCUAUAAGACUGGGAUAACUUCGGGAAACCGGAGCUAAUACCGGAUAAUAUUUUGAACCGCAUGGUUCAAAAGUGAAAGACGGUCUUGCUGUCACUUAUAGAUGGAUCCGCGCUGCAUUAGCUAGUUGGUAAGGUAACGGCUUACCAAGGCAACGAUGCAUAGCCGACCUGAGAGGGUGAUCGGCCACACUGGAGCUGAGACGCGGUCCAGACUCCUACGGGAGGCAGCAGUAGGGAAUCUUCCGCAAUGGGCGAAAGCCUGACGGAGCAACGCCGCGUGAGUGAUGAAGGUCUUCGGAUCGUAAAACUCUGUUAUUAGGGAAGAACAUAUGUGUAAGUAACUGUGCACAUCUUGACGGUACCUAAUCAGAAAGCCACGGCUAACUACGUG